RNAcentral lists this ribosomal RNA (465 nucleotides) under uncultured bacterium. Its description in RNAcentral is "bacterial SSU rRNA". It matches the Rfam family "Bacterial small subunit ribosomal RNA", at positions 198 to 644 of the family's 1533-position model. The record is from RNAcentral.
GGAGGAAAGCAGGGGAUCGCAAGACCUUGCGCUUUUGGAGCGGCCGAUGCCUGAUUAGCUUGUUGGUGAGGUAAAAGCUCACCAAGGCUCCGAUCAGUAGCUGGUCUGAGAGGACGACCAGCCACACUGGGACUGAGACACGGCCCAGACUCCUACGGGAGGCAGCAGUGGGGAAUUUUGGACAAUGGGGGCAACCCUGAUCCAGCCAUGCCGCGUGAGUGAAGAAGGCCUUCGGGUUGUAAAGCUCUUUCAGCCGGAACGAAACGGUCACGGUUAAUACCCGUGACUACUGACGGUACCGGGAGAAGAAGCACCGGCUAACUACGUGCCAGCAGCCGCGGUAAUACGUAGGGUGCGAGCGUUAAUCGGAAUUACUGGGCGUAAAGCGUGCGCAGGUGGUUUUGUAAGUCAGAUGUGAAAUCCCCGGGCUUAACCUGGGAACUGCGUUUGAAACUACAAAGCUAG